GUCUGUGUGUGUCUUUUACAGAGUUUUAAACCUUGGGAUCCACAAAAAAGCAAGAGUAAAAGACGAACACUUUUUAAACAUAAUGUUGUUAACAAACUACAUUAAUCAAAAAUGGACAUAGCAAGCAUCACCAGACAGCUUCAGUCAAAAUUGGAUGUAGAAGAUAGAGUUAAGGCUCUGCAAGGACAUCCGAUUUCUAAGUUAGCAAUGUUUGGAAUGGUGUAUUUUAGUGCAUUGAUUUAUUUUAAACAAAGAACAAUAUACUUCUACCGCUUCUCCCGACCUGCGUUAUAGUCAGAGCGGGAGCAGCGGUUUCGCUCAUGCGCAAUUCUUUUGCAGUUUGGACCCGUAGGUGUAAAAAGCUCCUGCUCUGACAGCAGCUGGGGGCAACUGCUGCAUUAGGACGGCCGCCUGUGAGUGCUUUGGCACGGGCGAGGUGCCCACGGCAGCUCCCGCUGCUUGUAAGAGCGAUACGUGCUUCCACGUCAAAAACUCGUAAUAACACCAGAAAAAAGUCACCAGAUUUGUCGCUAGUUGCUUUUUAGAAAAAAAAAAAAAAGUCAAUUAAGGCGUCUGAAAACUCGCUAGAUAUAGCGACAAAAUCACUGCCGUUAAGUCCUCCGUUAUUUAUUUAGCUAAACAAGUCAAUUAACACUGGCUUACAGCACCAUAGAAAUAUAUACAAAAAUACAAGCCUCCGUUAUUUAUUUAGCUAAUAUGCUAGUAGCCAAUGUGCUUUAAGCUAACUCGGCUUCCCACAAUCUUACAUUUCUGAAUAAAAACACUAAGAAGUUACCUUUAAUACCUCCGACCAGUAUAAUUUCAUUCCAC
Molecule: long non-coding RNA, 831 nt
Organism: Astatotilapia calliptera (eastern happy)
Lineage: Eukaryota; Metazoa; Chordata; Actinopteri; Cichliformes; Cichlidae
Source: Ensembl